GACGAACGCUGUCGGCGCGCCUAAUACAUGCAAGUUGAACGCUUCUUUCUUAUCGAACUUCGGUUCACCAAGAAAGAAGAGUAGCGAACGGGUGAGUAACACGUGGGUAACCUGCCCAUCAGUGGGGGAUAACACUUGGAAACAGGUGCUAAUACCGCAUAAUACUUUUUCUCUCAUGAGUGAAAGUUGAAAGGCGCUUUUGCGUCACUAAUGGAUGGACCCGCGGUGCAUUAGCUAGUUGGUAGGGUAACGGCCUACCAAGGCAACGAUGCAUAGCCGACCUGAGAGGGUGAUCGGCCACACUGGGACUGAGACACGGCCCAGACUCCUACGGGAGGCAGCAGUAGGGAAUCUUCGGCAAUGGACGAAAGUCUGACCGAGCAACGCCGCGUGUGUGAAGAAGGUUUUCGGAUCGUAAAACUCUGUUGUUAGAGAAGAACAAGGAUGAGAAGGGAAUGUUCAUCCCUUGACGGUAUCUAACCAGAAAGCCACGGCUAACUACGUGCCAGCCGCCGCGGUAA
Molecule: ribosomal RNA, 521 nt
Filed under: uncultured bacterium
Lineage: Bacteria
Description: partial 16S ribosomal RNA
Rfam family: Bacterial small subunit ribosomal RNA
Source: RNAcentral